GCGGCUGUAACUCAAUGGUAGAGUGUCAGCUUCCCAAGCUGAAAGCUGCGGGUUCGAGUCCCGUCAGCCGCUCCA
This 75-nucleotide transfer RNA is filed under the name Clostridia bacterium. RNAcentral describes it as "tRNA-Gly". It matches the Rfam family "tRNA". From Rfam's summary of the family: Transfer RNA (tRNA) molecules are approximately 80 nucleotides in length. Their secondary structure includes four short double-helical elements and three loops (D, anti-codon, and T loops). The record is from RNAcentral. Lineage: Bacteria; Bacillati; Bacillota; Clostridia.